AUUGAACGCUGGCGGCAUGCUUUACACAUGCCAGUCGAACGGCAGCGCGGGCUUCGGCCUGGCGGCGAGUGGCGAACGGGUGAGUAAUACAUCGGAACGUGCCCAGUAGUGGGGGAUAGCUCGGCGAAAGCCGGAUUAAUACCGCAUACGACCUGAGGGUGAAAGCGGGGGAUCUUCGGACCUCGCGCUAUUGGAGCGGCCGAUGGCAGAUUAGCUAGUUGGUGGGGUAAAGGCCUACCAAGGCGACGAUCUGUAGCUGGUCUGAGAGGACGACCAGCCACACUGGGACUGAGACACGGCCCAGACUCCUACGGGAGGCAGCAGUGGGGAAUUUUGGACAAUGGGCGAAAGCCUGAUCCAGCAAUGCCGCGUGUGUGAUGAAGGCCUUCGGGUUAUAAAGCACUUUUGGCGGGAACGAAAAGGACUGUGCCAAUACCACGGUUCGAUGACGGUACCCGCAGAAUAAGCACCGGCUAACUACGUG
RNAcentral lists this ribosomal RNA (484 nucleotides) under uncultured bacterium. Its description in RNAcentral is "partial 16S ribosomal RNA". It matches the Rfam family "Bacterial small subunit ribosomal RNA", at positions 29 to 507 of the family's 1533-position model. The record is from RNAcentral.